This 253-nucleotide ribosomal RNA is filed under the name uncultured bacterium. Its description in RNAcentral is "partial 16S ribosomal RNA". It matches the Rfam family "Bacterial small subunit ribosomal RNA", at positions 524 to 776 of the family's 1533-position model. The record is from RNAcentral.
UACGGGGGGGGCAAGCGUUGUUCGGAAUUACUGGGCGUAAAGGGCUCGUAGGCGGCCAACUAAGUCGGAUGUGAAAUCCCUGGGCUCAACCCAGGAACUGCGUCCGAUACUGGUUGGCUUGAAUCCGGGAGAGGGAUGUGGAAUUCCAGGUGUAGCGGUGAAAUGCGUAGAUAUCUGGAGGAACACCGGUGGCGAAGGCGACAUCCUGGACCGGUAUUGACGCUGAGGCGCGAAAGCCAGGGGAGCAAACGGG